Pipistrellus kuhlii (Kuhl's pipistrelle) is the source of this 754-nucleotide long non-coding RNA. RefSeq lists it as uncharacterized. The transcript is spliced from 4 exons. The record is from RefSeq and is a predicted model, not a curated record. NCBI's taxonomy places the organism in Eukaryota, Metazoa, Chordata, Mammalia, Chiroptera, Vespertilionidae.
GCCCACUGCAGACACAGGCCCCGCCCCUCAAUUGCCCCGCCCACUAGCCUCCUGCGGCGCUGCUCCUGUCUGAGGCGGGGCCUGGAGACCGGCAACGCUGGGCCACGCCCACCAUAUCGGCCCCGCCCAGUCCCGGGCUCCGCCCCUCCCUCAGCGCCAAUGACCGGCUGUCUGCAGCUCUGGCUCCGCCCAUGUCCCCUGGACCACGCCUCCCCGGCCGGGUCCUGCCGCCACCCGCGGCUCGGAUGCUUUGCGAGGAGACACGGCCCGCCGAGCUGCAUCAGGCUUGCGGUGAGCUGAAGCCGCCGCAGAGCUGGCCCGGCCCCUUAAAGGGACAAGCAGCUUCGGCAGUGCUCGUUUCCCGCUUUAGGUCUCAGCAUCAUGCAUAAAACAUUCUCUGCCCUCCCAGCACCCUCCAGGUCUGGAUUGGGAUGCAUCCCUUGGACUAUGCCAGCAUUAUGCCUACACACAGCAUAGCAGACCAGGCUGCAGUUUCUAGAACAUUCCCACCAGGUCUCUUCAUGGAGAAAUGAAAGAGAGCAGUAAAACAUGAUGGCACAGAGGAAAGGGAGCGGCUGCAAAUCCCACAUGAUGCCACAGCUCCUUCUCAAUAACUCAGAGGGGGACAUUCAGACACAGACCUGAGGAGUGAGCUGUUGGCAUCCUUUCUGCCCACCCCUCCCCCUGCAGAAACCCUCCAUGAGCGGAAAGAGGCAUAGAGAGGUGAGGGGCAGGAGCAUCUCUAAGGGGCCGG